GCCAGCAUGGUGCAGUGGUUUGAGUGCUGGACUAUGACUCUGGAGAUCAGGGUUCAAUUCCUUGCUAGGCC
This 71-nucleotide transfer RNA is filed under the name Phrynosoma platyrhinos (Desert horned lizard). RNAcentral describes it as "tRNA-OTHER". Lineage: Eukaryota; Metazoa; Chordata; Lepidosauria; Squamata; Phrynosomatidae. The record is from RNAcentral.